UGUAUGCUCAGCUGGACAGUGUGUA
RNAcentral lists this non-coding RNA (25 nucleotides) under Cricetulus griseus (Chinese hamster). The record is from RNAcentral. Lineage: Eukaryota; Metazoa; Chordata; Mammalia; Rodentia; Cricetidae.